Molecule: unclassified non-coding RNA, 394 nt
Filed under: uncultured fungus
Lineage: Eukaryota; Fungi
Description: partial contains small subunit ribosomal RNA, internal transcribed spacer 1, and 5.8S ribosomal RNA
Rfam family: Eukaryotic small subunit ribosomal RNA (bases 1-73)
Source: RNAcentral
GCAAACUUGGUCAUUUAGAGGAAGUAAAAGUCGUAACAAGGUUUCCGUAGGUGAACCUGCGGAAGGAUCAUUAUUGAAUAAAUGGGCUGAUAGGUUGUUGCUGGCCUUUUUUUGGGAGGUAUGUGCACACUUGUCGUCUUUAUUUUUCCACCUGUGCACUGUUUGUAGGCCCUAGAGAAAAAAGCAAUUGUCUUGGUGAUUGGAUAGAUUGAGGACUGCUGUGUUGUAAAGAGGCCAGCUUUACCUUGUGUUCUCUAGGUGUUCUAUGUUUUUUCACACAUACUCCUAUGAAUGUAAUGGAAUGUUGACAAUAUUGGGCCUUUGUUGCCUACAGAAGUUAAAUACAACUUUCAGCAACGGAUCUCUUGGCUCUCGCAUCGAUGAAGAACGCAGC